This 249-nucleotide unclassified non-coding RNA is filed under the name Hevea brasiliensis (rubber tree). The record is from RNAcentral. Lineage: Eukaryota; Viridiplantae; Streptophyta; Magnoliopsida; Malpighiales; Euphorbiaceae.
GAAAUUUUAAUUAUUCACCAAAAUGUCUUUGCACAUUCUGAGUUGUUUUCCUAACUUUUAGCUGGAAUAGAUCAAUGCUCAACUUUUCAAAUCAUUUUGAUACAAGUCAGAAAUACAUUGACUGUGAGAUCCUGCCACAUGGAACUUUUUGUAUCUGAAUACAAAAAAGAGGCAAUGGCAUGGUGGUGUUUUCCCCGCCAAGAGACCUCUGAUGAUUAAGUCAGUGACUUGAUGGAAAAUGUUAUCAAC